UACGUAGGUGGCAAGCGUUGUCCGGAUUUACUGGGCGUAAAGGGCGUGCAGGCGGUUUGUUAAGUCUAGGGUGAAAGCUCCCGGCUCAACUGGGAGAGGUCCUUGGAUACUGGCAAACUUGAGGGAGGCAGAGGAGAGUGGAAUUCCCGGUGUAGUGGUGAUAUGCGUAGAUAUCGGGAGGAACACCAGUGGCGAAGGCGGCUCUCUGGGCCUUUCCUGACGCUGAGACGCGAAAGCGUGGGGAGCGAACCGG
Molecule: ribosomal RNA, 253 nt
Filed under: uncultured bacterium
Lineage: Bacteria
Description: partial 16S ribosomal RNA
Rfam family: Bacterial small subunit ribosomal RNA
Source: RNAcentral